UCUAACCCAGUGUUAACCUAUGCUAGCCUAGUGCUAGCCUGAUGCUACCCAGUGCUAGCCUGAUGCUAGCCUGAUGCUAGUUAGCCUGAUGCUAAUUAGCCUGAUGCUAGCCUGAUGCUAGUUAGCCUGAUGCUAAUUAGCCUGAUGCU
Molecule: long non-coding RNA, 149 nt
Organism: Sebastes umbrosus (honeycomb rockfish)
Lineage: Eukaryota; Metazoa; Chordata; Actinopteri; Perciformes; Sebastidae
Exons: 3
Source: RefSeq, a predicted model, not a curated record